GAAUCUGCGAAUGGCUCAUUAAAACAGUUAUAGUUUAUUUGCUAUUCGUUUAUAUGGAUAACCGUAGUAAUUCUAGAGCUAAUACAUGCAUUAUUCGCGACUCACGAAGCGUAGUAUUUAUUAGAUAAGCACCACGGGCUUCGGCUUGUGUGAGGAAUCAUAAUAACUGAGCGAACUACCAUCGGUAGUGAAGCAUUCAAGUUUCUGCCCUAUCAGCUUUCGAUGGUAGUGUAUUGGACUACCAUGGCGUUGACGGGUAACGGAGAAUUAGGGUUCGAUUCCGGAGAGGGAGCCUGAGAAACGGCUACCACAUCUAAGGAUGGCAGCAGGCGCGCAAAUUACCCAAUCCUAACUCAGGGAGGUAGUGACAAGAAAUAACAACUUCGGGCUUGCCCGAGAUUGGAAUGAGUACAACGUACAAUCUUUAACGAGUACCAACUGGAGGGCAAGUCUGGU
Molecule: ribosomal RNA, 456 nt
Filed under: uncultured marine eukaryote
Lineage: Eukaryota
Description: SSU rRNA
Rfam family: Eukaryotic small subunit ribosomal RNA
Source: RNAcentral